Molecule: transfer RNA, 76 nt
Filed under: Deltaproteobacteria bacterium
Lineage: Bacteria; Pseudomonadati; Myxococcota; Myxococcia
Description: tRNA-Asn
Rfam family: tRNA
About the family: Transfer RNA (tRNA) molecules are approximately 80 nucleotides in length. Their secondary structure includes four short double-helical elements and three loops (D, anti-codon, and T loops).
Source: RNAcentral
UCCGGAAUAGCUCAGCAGGUAGAGCGGUCGGCUGUUAACCGAUUGGUCGCAGGUUCGAGUCCUGCUUCCGGAGCCA